GACGAACGCUGGCGGCGCGCCUAACACAUGCAAGUCGAACGAGCGAGAGAGAGCUUGCUUUCUCAAGCGAGUUGCGAACGGGUGAGUAACGCGUGAGGAACCUGCCUCAAAGAGGGGGACAACAGUUUGAAACGACUGCUAAUACCGCAUAAGCCCACGACCCGGCAUCGGGUAGAGGGAAAAGGAGCCAUCCGCUUUGAGAUGGCCUCGCGUCCGAUUAGCUAGUUGGUGAGGUAACGGCCCACCAAGGCGACGAUCGGUAGCCGGACUGAGAGGUUGAACGGCCACAUUGGGACUGAGACACGGCCCAGACUCCUACGGGAGGCAGCAGUGGGGAAUAUUGCACAAUGGGGGAAACCCUGAUGCAGCGACGCCGCGUGGAGGAAGAAGGUCUUAGGAUUGUAAACUCCUGUUGUUGAGGAAGAUAAUGACGGUACUCAACAAGGAAGUGACGGCUAACUACGUG
This 466-nucleotide ribosomal RNA is filed under the name uncultured bacterium. Its description in RNAcentral is "partial 16S ribosomal RNA". It matches the Rfam family "Bacterial small subunit ribosomal RNA", at positions 28 to 507 of the family's 1533-position model. The record is from RNAcentral.